AGCAUUAAUGAAUAUUAAUGAAGUUGCUCAAUAGAGCGUGCUGAUUGGUUUGAACCAAGCCUUACUCAUGCAUUAAUGCAGCACACUCUGAGACGUAAUACGGUACUCCCAGGUACAGACGUUCAGUCUACAUGCUGUAAUACAAGCUAAGAUUUCAUGGCCGUGACGCAGCUUCAAAAAUUAGUUUCAAACCGGAAGUACGAAUUUGCUCAAAAUAACGCAAAAAACAACCAAUUUACACUUUUUAGUGAAAUAUAGGUGUCCUAAUAGUGUUUUUAGUAGUGUGGGACACAUAUACGACUGUCAACAGCUCAAAACAUGUGUUUUGGUGUUUCGUGACCCUUUAAAUAUAAAAUGUCAUUUUGUGGUUGAACAAUCAAUCCGAAUAUAUACACACACAUUAAUAUUAAGCUAGGAAAGCUGUAAGGUGUUUUACUAAUUAAAUGAAUUUGACAUUGAAUGGAUUUUUGUGCCUUUUACAUUUGAUUCACUGUUUUUUAUGUAUGUAUUUAUUAGUUCGGUAAGUGGACAAAUGGUUGUUGUUGCUUGUUAUGUUCUUUAAGGCAAUAAACUUGACCUACUUUG
This 585-nucleotide long non-coding RNA is filed under the name Danio rerio (zebrafish). RNAcentral describes it as "lncRNA si:ch211-165g14.3 (ENSDARG00000097343.2)". Lineage: Eukaryota; Metazoa; Chordata; Actinopteri; Cypriniformes; Danionidae. The record is from RNAcentral.